CAUUGUAUAUGAUAUACUUAUGUUAUUUCUAUUAUUAGAUAGAAUAAUAGGGACACUAUUUAUAGUGUCCCUAUUAUGUAGGGACACAAUAAUUUAGAAUACUAGGGAUAUUGUGUUCCCUGGUUAAAAUGUAAGCUCAGUGAUAAUAGAAGUCUUUGAUUUGUUCAUUGAUUUACCCAGAGAGUGGUACCUAAUACCCAGUAGGCUCCCAAUCAAUAUUUUACUAGUAAAUGGUAAGAAAAAUAAAGAGCACAACAUAUAAAUGACUAUGGGCAUCUCUUAGAGCCAGGGACAGGAGGGGAGAGGAGGUCAGGAAAGGUUGCAUAGAAGACAUGACAUUUGAACCAAACUGUGGAAGAUGAAUAGGUUUGAACCUGUAGGGUUGAGAGGAGAGUAGUCAGGUGGAGGGGUCAGUGUGUCUUACGUUUACAGAGGUCCCAUAGAGAGGAGUGGGUUCAAUUAGGCACAGAGGGGCAAUGGGCAGACUGAGGGGAAGACAUAGGCUGAGAAAGUAGGCUGGAGCCGGGCUGGGUGCAGUGGCUUACGCCUGUAAUCCCAGCACUUUGGGAGGCCAAGGCGGGAGGAUCACUUGAGGCUAGGAGUUCAGGACCAUCCAGGGCAACAUGGCCAGAACUGAGCCCUACAAAAAAAAUUUUAAAAAA
Long non-coding RNA from Sapajus apella (tufted capuchin), 662 nucleotides. RefSeq lists it as uncharacterized. The record is from RefSeq and is a predicted model, not a curated record. NCBI's taxonomy places the organism in Eukaryota, Metazoa, Chordata, Mammalia, Primates, Cebidae. The transcript is spliced from 2 exons.